Molecule: ribosomal RNA, 438 nt
Filed under: uncultured bacterium
Lineage: Bacteria
Description: bacterial SSU rRNA
Rfam family: Bacterial small subunit ribosomal RNA
Source: RNAcentral
UAACGCGAAGAACCUUACCAAGGCUUGACAUACACCGGAAACGGCCAGAGAUGGUCGCCCCCUUGUGGUCGGUGUACAGGUGGUGCAUGGCUGUCGUCAGCUCGUGUCGUGAGAUGUUGGGUUAAGUCCCGCAACGAGCGCAACCCUUGUUCUGUGUUGCCAGCAUGCCCUUCGGGGUGAUGGGGACUCACAGGAGACUGCCGGGGUCAACUCGGAGGAAGGUGGGGACGACGUCAAGUCAUCAUGCCCCUUAUGUCUUGGGCCGCACACGUGCUACAAUGGCAGGUACAAUGAGCUGCGAAGCCGUGAGGCGGAGCGAAUCUCAAAAAGCCUGUCUCAGUUCGGAUUGGGGUCUGCAACUCGACCCCAUGAAGUCGGAGUUGCUAGUAAUCGCAGAUCAGCAUUGCUGCGGUGAAUACGUUCCCGGGUCUUGUACAC